ACCAGACUCCUACGGGAGGCAGCAGUGGGGAAUAUUGCACAAUGGGGGAAACCCUGAUGCAGCGACGCCGCGUGAGUGAAGAAGUAUUUCGGUAUGUAAAGCUCUAUCAGCAGGGAAGAAAAUGACGGUACCUGACUAAGAAGCCCCGGCUAACUACGUGCCAGCAGCCGCGGUAAUACGUAGGGGGCAAGCGUUAUCCGGAUUUACUGGGUGUAAAGGGAGCGUAGACGGCAGAGCAAGUCUGAAGUGAAAGCCCGCGGCCCAACUGCGGGACUGCUUUGGAAACUGCCCGGCUAGAGUGCUGGAGAGGUAAGCGGAAUUCCUAGUGUAGCGGUGAAAUGCGUAGAUAUCUGGAGGAACAUCAGUGGCGAAGGCGACUAUCUGGCACAUAACUGACGCUGAGGAGCGAAAGCGUGGGUAGCAAACAGGAUUAGAUACCCCCGUAU
This 446-nucleotide ribosomal RNA is filed under the name uncultured bacterium. RNAcentral's name for it is "bacterial SSU rRNA". It matches the Rfam family "Bacterial small subunit ribosomal RNA", at positions 330 to 793 of the family's 1533-position model. The record is from RNAcentral.